CUACGGGGGGCAGCAGUGAGGAAUAUUGCACAAUGGAGGAAACUCUGAUGCAGCAACGCCGCGUGGAGGAUGACGCAUUUCGGUGUGUAAACUCCUUUUAUAUGUCAAGAAAAUGACGGUAGCAUAUGAAUAAGCUCCGGCUAACUCCGUGCCAGCAGCCGCGGUAAUACGGAGGGAGCAAGCGUUACUCGGAAUCACUGGGCGUAAAGGACGCGUAGGCGGGAUAGAAAGUCAGGUGUGAAAUCCUAUGGCUCAACCAUAGAACUGCACUUGAAACUUCUAACCUAGAGUAUGGGAGGGGAAGAUGGAAUUAGUGGUGUAGGGGUAAAAUCCGUAGAUAUCACUAGGAAUACCAAAAGCGAAGGCGAUCUUCUGGAACAAUACUGACGCUAAGGCGUGAAAGCGUGGGGAGCAAACAGGAUUAGAUACCCCAGUAGUC
Molecule: ribosomal RNA, 439 nt
Filed under: uncultured bacterium
Lineage: Bacteria
Description: partial 16S ribosomal RNA
Rfam family: Bacterial small subunit ribosomal RNA
Source: RNAcentral